This 223-nucleotide ribosomal RNA is filed under the name uncultured prokaryote. RNAcentral describes it as "partial 16S ribosomal RNA". It matches the Rfam family "Bacterial small subunit ribosomal RNA", at positions 524 to 746 of the family's 1533-position model. The record is from RNAcentral.
GACGAACCGUGCGAACGUUGUUCGGAAUCAUUGGGCUUAAAGGGCGCGUAGGCGGGCUGGCCAGUCCGGGGUGAAAGCCCACGGCUCAACCGUGGAAGUGCCUUGGAUACUGCCAGUCUCGAGGGAGGUAGGGGCGUGCGGAACUUCCGGUGGAGCGGUGAAAUGCGUAGAUAUCGGAAGGAACACCGGUGGCGAAAACGGCGCGCUGGACCUCUUCUGACGC